AUGAACCAAAAACGACUAAAAAUCAGUUAAAUUAUAAAGACAAGUUAAAGGGGUCGUGUGCGCGCGAUUCUGGAAGUUGUUCUGUUUCGAGGGUUAUCUAAGUUUAUUCACAGGGAAUCAGAUUUAUAUGUCUUCAGGCCGAGAAGAAUUAAACUGAGCUUAUAGACCAAGGAUCUAGCCCAAGACGGUAGAGAUCGAGUUCCCGGUGCCUGAUAGACUGCCUUAGUCUGCUGAAGCUCCGUUAUCGAUUGCCAGUACGUGUUUCGAGUUGGGCAUAGAGUCUGUUGUGUUAUGAUGUAUAUACACCCUUGUAUGUUAUAGAUACUCCACAGUUUGUAUAAGCUUUAGGAGUUGUAGUUGUGUAAAUUUUGUUGGUUAUAUUUUGAUUAAGGUGUCUUUAGGUUUACCCGUGAAAUCAGUAAAUUUUGAGGUACACUUCAUGUAUGUGUUUGACUAGCCUAGGACCCGCUGUGUUUUGUUGCAUGUAUAAUAGUUUAUAUACUAGAUUGGCAAGUUCAUCACAUGAAAGUUUUAAUCAGAGUCGACAGAUAUAGGUACAGAAAAGCGUUGUUCGUCGGUUUCAUGCCAUCUUUCAGUCUAAGGUAGCAGGUAGUCCGAGAGGGGGUGUGACAUUUCACAUGUCAAAAUGUGAUUCCUA
Molecule: long non-coding RNA, 658 nt
Organism: Cucumis melo (muskmelon)
Lineage: Eukaryota; Viridiplantae; Streptophyta; Magnoliopsida; Cucurbitales; Cucurbitaceae
Exons: 3
Source: RefSeq, a predicted model, not a curated record